UACGUAGGGGGCUAGCGUUGUCCGGAAUCAUUGGGCGUAAAGCGCGUGUAGGCGGUCCGGUAAGUCCGCUGUGAAAGUCGGGGGCUCAACCCUCGGAUGCCGGUGGAUACUGUCGGGCUUGAGUACGGAAGAGGCGAGUGGAAUUCCUGGUGUAGCGGUGAAAUGCGCAGAUAUUGGGAGGAACACCGGUGGCGAAGGCGGCUACCUGGACCGGCACUGACGCUGAGGCGCGAAAGCGUGGGGAGCGAACAGG
This 253-nucleotide ribosomal RNA is filed under the name uncultured bacterium. Its description in RNAcentral is "partial 16S ribosomal RNA". It matches the Rfam family "Bacterial small subunit ribosomal RNA", at positions 524 to 776 of the family's 1533-position model. The record is from RNAcentral.